Molecule: non-coding RNA, 22 nt
Filed under: Arabidopsis thaliana (thale cress)
Lineage: Eukaryota; Viridiplantae; Streptophyta; Magnoliopsida; Brassicales; Brassicaceae
Source: RNAcentral
UUGUGAAUGGUUUUGGAACCUC